This 85-nucleotide transfer RNA is filed under the name Agaricus bisporus var. bisporus H97. RNAcentral describes it as "tRNA-Asp". The record is from RNAcentral. Lineage: Eukaryota; Fungi; Basidiomycota; Agaricomycetes; Agaricales; Agaricaceae.
UCUCUGUUAGUAUAUCGGUUAGUACACGCGCCUGUCAUUUGCCAUAUGACCGCGCGAAAGCGGGGUUCGACUCCCCGACAGAGAG